Molecule: RNA transcript, 1324 nt
Organism: Cephus cinctus (wheat stem sawfly)
Lineage: Eukaryota; Metazoa; Arthropoda; Insecta; Hymenoptera; Cephidae
Gene name: odorant receptor 30a
Exons: 8
Source: RefSeq, a predicted model, not a curated record
UAGUCUGUUGUGACUUAUUGUUCGAAAAGGUGCAACUAACGUCUUGUAAAUGCCGUCUGCAAUUACAUCAUUAAAAAAGAACAUAAAGAAAUGCAAUGGCGUUUCAAGUGACUCUACCGCGAGCUAUGCAAUUUUUGCUAGUCUGUGGAAAAAUAUCAUGCACGUUACCACCAAAUUUUGAAAGCCGAAGAUACAAAUCAAUUAUCCACGAAAUCAUGUGGUUGAUAUCUAUGUCUGUGACAAUGAGUUUAAUAAUUCCUCUUUUUCUGGCAAUGUAUCACUUUGGUGAAGAUUUGGCAGUAUUAACAAAAUCAGUGUCAGAAUCAAUGACCGCGACAGAUCCACUUUUGAAUAUGAUUUUCUGCAAAUUAGAGAGAGCUCGAAUUCAGGUUAUUCUCAGUGAGUUAAUGAACUUCCUAAAUACUGCAUCUCCGUUUGAAAAAGCUAAACUUCAAAAACACGUUGACCAAUGCACACCGUUCUAUCUGUUCAUACUUAUUUUAUUUUCACUGACUGCUGUUGCCUUUUCAUGCGGGCCCAUCGUAAUGGACAGGCCAUUUCCGGCUGAAGCGUGGUAUCCUUUUUCAACGGAUCCACUUCCUAUCAGUUGUUCCAUAUACGUGCUUCAAAUUAUGGUCAUAGCACAAGCCGCGAUGUGUAUACAUAUGGAUUUUAUGAUUGCAUUUCUUUUGUGGUACGCCGUGGCGAGUUUUGAAAUAUUGGGAGAGAAAUUUCGUCGUGUCGAAAACGAAGUUGAUCUUCGAAAUUGUAUCGUUCAACAUCAGAAAUUGAUAGUAUUUGUUCGUGAAAUUAAUCGUGUCUUUUAUGUAAUGAUUCUAAAAACACCUCUAUCGAUGACAAUUAGCAUAAUCUGUUCUAGCGUUCAGCUGAUUCACCACGAACCUCUGCCAGUAUUGUCCCAGUUUAUUUUGCUGCUAGUAGUUUGCUCUAUAAAGCUAUACAUCACUGCUUGGCCAGCGGACAGUUUGAUCCACGCUAGCGAAAACAUCGCUUCGUCAGUUUACGAAUCAUCUUGGAUUGGUAAAUCUUCAACGUUUCUGAAGAGUCUGAACAUUGUCAUACGAAGAAGUCAAAAACCUCUCAUUAUUUCAAUCACUGGCAUACUUCCUCCACUGUCUCUACGAUUUUACGCAAGCUUUAUCACCAAAGCACUGUCGUUCAUCACGACAUUGAAGAGUGUUAUCAGCGAGUGAACAAUUAUCGAUCUUCAAAAUUCUCUUCGCGUCGCGCAGCUAUUUGAUUAGCCAUUAUCAGAGGAUACUCUCAACUCACAGCUUGAACUCCGAGAACGAUCAUGUCCAUG